Molecule: long non-coding RNA, 669 nt
Organism: Pieris rapae (cabbage white)
Lineage: Eukaryota; Metazoa; Arthropoda; Insecta; Lepidoptera; Pieridae
Exons: 5
Source: RefSeq, a predicted model, not a curated record
CCGAGUUGCCAAAGAAGAUCUACAUAAUGACGUCAAUACUACUCUUCCACUGCUGCACUAACUCCCAGGGCCAAGUAGAGAGUGAUAUUUGUAAGGAGAUGAGAGAUGAUGAGCAGGAGAUAAUAUUAAAAUUCUGCGAGGAGUUGAGUGAUAUGGAAGUUACUGUUAAUAAUAUCAAUACAGCUAUAAAAGAAGCCUUUGAAAUGAGAAAUAGAAAUGCGACAGAAUCGAGAAUUGAGACACCGAACUCAUCAAUGCAAGUGAUGAUAUCAACACAAAAGAAGCCAAAGCUCACUUUCAAGUCAUCUAUCACUGUUUUGCCUUCCGUUGUUACAGAGACAUCGAUGUCGAGAUCCUCGUUAGAAGGAUUUUCUGAUAUUUCCUGUUAUCCGGUAACAUACGGAAAGUUUAAUACUAACCAAAUAGUCAUGUCUUCCGAUUCUAAAGAUACGGAUGUAUCGAAUUAUGAUUUAGGCACAGAGAAGUCAAAAUGUCAAGAAGACUGCUCAUGUACGAAAUGCCUAACAUCAACAACUUGUUGUGGUGAUGCAGGUCGGUCUAUGGUUGAAUGUGAUCAGCCCAUGAAAAAGAUCAUUUCUCAAUGGAACUGGAAAAUAUGUAUUAUAGUUUCAAGCGCUUUUUUAUUGUUGACUCUCAUAAUUAUUCUAA